AUCUGUGGUCAUGCCACCCUGAAUUUCACACCAGAUUUUAUUUGAUCUCAGAUGCUGAGCAGGGUUAGUACCUGAAUGGGAGACACCUUGGGAUUAGUAGAUGCCGGAGGCG
RNAcentral lists this ribosomal RNA (112 nucleotides) under Peromyscus maniculatus bairdii (prairie deer mouse). The record is from RNAcentral. Lineage: Eukaryota; Metazoa; Chordata; Mammalia; Rodentia; Cricetidae.